Molecule: ribosomal RNA, 460 nt
Filed under: uncultured bacterium
Lineage: Bacteria
Description: partial 16S ribosomal RNA
Rfam family: Bacterial small subunit ribosomal RNA
Source: RNAcentral
CCUACGGGUGGCAGCAGUGAGGAAUAUUGGUCAAUGGACGCGAGUCUGAACCAGCCAAGUAGCGUGAAGGAUGACUGCCCUAUGGGUUGUAAACUUCUUUUAUAUGGGAAUAAACUGUUCCACGUGUGGGAUUUUGUAUGUACCAUAUGAAUAAGGAUCGGCUAAUUCCGUGCCAGCAGCCGCGGUAAUACGGAGGAUCCGAGCGUUAUCCGGAUUUAUUGGGUUUAAAGGGAGCGUAGGUGGAUUGUUAAGUCAGUUGUGAAAGUUUGCGGCUCAACCGUAAAAUUGCAGUUGAAACUGGCAGUCUUGAGUACAGUAGAGGUAGGCGGAAUUCGUGGUGUAGCGGUGAAAUGCUUAGAUAUCACGAAGAACUCCGAUUGCGAAGGCAGUUCACUGGACUGCAACUGACACUGAGGCUCGAAAGUGUGGGUAUCAAACAGGAUUAGAUACCCGUGUAGUC